Molecule: long non-coding RNA, 208 nt
Organism: Dermacentor silvarum
Lineage: Eukaryota; Metazoa; Arthropoda; Arachnida; Ixodida; Ixodidae
Exons: 2
Source: RefSeq, a predicted model, not a curated record
AUAAUAAAGUGUGCAUAGCUACUUACCGUUGUCUGCAUAAGGCACAUGAAAAACAUAACAUAGUUUUCGAUCAGUGAAAAUGAGCGUGUCGGUCAAGUUCAACUUACCCACUUGGUAUUCAAAGGCAUUCCUUGUUUUCUUGUAUCCAUAUUGAAAAACAGGCCUUCACUGUUUCUGACACGUUGUAACUGAAGGUAAAAGAGGAAGA